GCUUACGGCCAUACCAACCUGGCUAUGCCCGAUCUUGUCUGCUCUCAGAAGCUAAGCAGGUUUGGGCCUGGUUAGUACUUGGAUGGGAGACCGCCUGGGAAUACCAGGUGCUAUAAGCU
RNAcentral lists this ribosomal RNA (119 nucleotides) under Carassius auratus (goldfish). Lineage: Eukaryota; Metazoa; Chordata; Actinopteri; Cypriniformes; Cyprinidae. The record is from RNAcentral.